AUAGCAAUGGCCAUUUCUUCAUUUGAUAUGAUGAUAUACAUUAGUUCUUUGUGCCUACAAAUUUCAAGACACCUUCAUCUAAAAAUCUUCAAGACUUCAUGUCAACAAGCACCUGAACAGGUUCAAGUUCUUUCUUCAAAGGUUCAUCAGAAUAACAUGGACUGAAGAGACUUUCGAACAUUUGCCAUCUCUUGCUGCUGCUGUUUCAUGAAAGGAGAUAUGAAACGUUUAAUUUUUAGUUAAAUGUUAUAAAAAUUUCAGCAAAUAAAACAUUUCAGUGUCUUCAUUA
Onychomys torridus (southern grasshopper mouse) is the source of this 289-nucleotide long non-coding RNA. RefSeq lists it as uncharacterized. NCBI's taxonomy places the organism in Eukaryota, Metazoa, Chordata, Mammalia, Rodentia, Cricetidae. The record is from RefSeq and is a predicted model, not a curated record. The transcript has 2 exons.